Molecule: ribosomal RNA, 590 nt
Filed under: uncultured bacterium
Lineage: Bacteria
Description: bacterial SSU rRNA
Rfam family: Bacterial small subunit ribosomal RNA
Source: RNAcentral
UGUUUGAUCCUGGCUCAGGAUGAACGCUAGCGGCAGGCUUAACACAUGCAAGUCGAGGGGUAACACGGGUGCUUGCACCUGGUGAUGACCGGCGGAUGGGUGAGUAACACGUAUGGAACCUGCCCCUUACUGGAGGAUAGCCCGGAGGAAUCCGGAUUAAUACUCCGUAAUAAAGGAAGUGGCAUCACUUCUUUUUGAAAGCUCCGGCGGUAAGGGAUGGCCAUGCGCCCGAUUAGCUUGUUGGUGGGGUAACGGCCCACCAAGGCGACGAUCGGUAGGGGGCCUGAGAGGGUUAUCCCCCACAAUGGUACUGAGACACGGACCAGACUCCUACGGGAGGCAGCAGUGAGGAAUAUUGCGCAAUGGAGGCAACUCUGACGCAGCCAUGCCGCGUGCAGGAAGAAGGCGCUAAGCGUUGUAAACUGCUUUUGAUCGGAAAGAAACCCCGGGACGUGUCCCGGGUUGACGGUACCGGUCGAAUAAGCACCGGCUAACUUCGUGCCAGCAGCCGCGGUAAUACGAAGGGUGCAAGCGUUAUCCGGAUUCAUUGGGUUUAAAGGGAGCGUAGGCGGAACGAUAAGUCGGCGGUG